This 485-nucleotide ribosomal RNA is filed under the name Pseudomonas sp. 01WB04.4-42. RNAcentral's name for it is "bacterial SSU rRNA". It matches the Rfam family "Bacterial small subunit ribosomal RNA", at positions 22 to 501 of the family's 1533-position model. The record is from RNAcentral. Lineage: Bacteria; Pseudomonadati; Pseudomonadota; Gammaproteobacteria; Pseudomonadales; Pseudomonadaceae.
GCUCAGAUUGAACGCUGGCGGCAGGCCUAACACAUGCAAGUCGAGCCGGUAGAGAGAAGCUUGCUUCUCUUGAGAGCGGCGGACGGGUGAGUAAUGCCUAGGAAUCUGCCUGGUAGUGGGGGAUAACGUUCGGAAACGAACGCUAAUACCGCAUACGUCCUACGGGAGAAAGCAGGGGACCUUCGGGCCUUGCGCUAUCAGAUGAGCCUAGGUCGGAUUAGCUAGUUGGUGAGGUAAUGGCUCACCAAGGCGACGAUCCGUAACUGGUCUGAGAGGAUGAUCAGUCACACUGGAACUGAGACACGGUCCAGACUCCUACGGGAGGCAGCAGUGGGGAAUAUUGGACAAUGGGCGAAAGCCUGAUCCAGCCAUGCCGCGUGUGUGAAGAAGGUCUUCGGAUUGUAAAGCACUUUAAGUUGGGAGGAAGGGCAUUAACCUAAUACGUUAGUGUUUUGACGUUACCGACAGAAUAAGCACCGGCUAAC